Long non-coding RNA from Thunnus maccoyii (southern bluefin tuna), 1114 nucleotides. RefSeq lists it as uncharacterized. The transcript is spliced from 9 exons. NCBI's taxonomy places the organism in Eukaryota, Metazoa, Chordata, Actinopteri, Scombriformes, Scombridae. The record is from RefSeq and is a predicted model, not a curated record.
AGCCAGGUGUCAAGAGGAGCUUUUGCUCACCUUAUCACACGCAAACAAAUGGACUUGUUGAAAAACUUAAUAGCACAAUUCAACGGGAGGCCAGAUACCCCUCUGAGGUACCAAGUGAGUGUGAGAUAACGGAUGCUAAAGUGGAGACACUAGUGAGGGAGGAAGUUGUCUGUGAGGCCUUAAAAAAACAUGGCGUGUAUCAGCAGGUGCAGACAAACGCAAGAAAAUGGAGCUACAGGACAAAAGGGCCAUACUACGAUCUACAACAGACAAUACUUAGACGACGACAAACAUCAACCAUUUAACACAUUUCAUUGAGCCAGAGGAGAGGGUUCAGGCUAAGCUCAGAAGAAUUGAGGGGCCCUCUCCUCUGGCCCCACACCACAGCACAACAGGUCACAACACCUCUGGUCCAUCAGCAGUCCACAAAUUCAAUCACCCUGAUGCUGCCAGCACCCCUCCAUUAUACUCUCCAGCCUCCUCUGCCACACUGUCCUGUGCAAGCACCCCUCCAAUAAACACACUCUCCCAUCUCUCCGGCCACUACCAGCUGCCACAGUGAACAGACAUCUAGUAUGACACACCCUGACCAAAGCAAAGGGGGAGAUACUGUGGGCAAAGGUUGGACCCUAGAAGUUGUUCAUAUCCGAUCUCCAGAGCCUUGCCCCUGGAAGGGAACUGGAGAGUGAGCUGGAUGCUGCAAAGUAUGAUGCAUUAAUUGGAGCAGUUUGCAAAGACAGACACUGGACUGUGGUGGCUAUAUACCCCAAGGAACGAAAGGCCCUUUUUGGUGCCACCAGUGCCCAGGUGCAGAAAUGUAAUGAAAUGACAAGGGCCUUCAUCAGAAGGAGGAACAUCAGCGUCUCCAGGUGGUCAUGUGACACAAUUUCCCACCUCCACCAGCAAGACACAACAUCAUGUGGGGUGCUGGUGUGUAAAAACAUAUAUUAAAAGGGACAGGAGGCUGACUUUCCAGUUGACAUGGAGGCAGUCAACCGAAUGAGAAAGGAAAUGGCCCAAACGCUGAUUUCAAAGUCAGAUUGAAUGCAUGUCAUGUGGUAGAUGGUUCCACUGGGUCUGUGUGGGGCGGCCUCCAACAGAGAAGGAAUAUUGG